CGGCAGGUCCCGGCCAGGCUGAUCCAGGAUCCGUCAGACCCCGGUCCGGUCCAGGUGAUGCUGUGACGGCUCACUUCAUGCAGCACGUCUGAACUCAUUGAGCUCUCUGUGCAGCUCAGUAUCUUCACCAUGAGUCUCCUCAGUGAGCAGCUCAGCUCUUCACCUGCAGAGACUCACCUGAGUUUAGACACUUUACGACACUUUCAGAGACUUUACGAGCCGCAGCGUGAGGACACCGACAUGCUAACACACUCAUUGGUGAACCAUGGAGCUCCGUCAGCUUCUACAGCUCCCGCCUUCAGUUAUAAAGGUUUAUUUAACGUUUAUCUAACGUUUCGGUGCCGUUAAAGGUGACGUAACAGCACGGCGGUUCUGCUUUAACGCGGGAAUAAACACAGAGUGAGUUAGCAUGAGCAGUUAGCCGCAGUCCCUCCGUACAGGUGCGUUAAUAAACUGAUUAUUACAGCCGAUCUGGCGCCAAUUCACCGCCAGUCCGCUCACACAACAUGUCUCACAUCCACCCGCGGGUGUAAACGUGAUGAAGCAGGUUAAAUAACGGCGGAUGAAGGCGGAUUGUACCCGCGGCGGGCGGACACGGAGCGGGACUCACCAUCUUGAAGCAGGUUCCGAGCGAAGAGGAAGCCGCGCCGGGUCUCGCGAGAGUUUGAGCGUGCCGCUGACCGGAAAUCCCGCCCUUUUCGUUUCCGGUGACGACGACGCGGAAGUUGACGUUUUGUAGUUUUUCUCGGACGCUAGCUUAAACUCGCCACCAUGGCGGAGCUAACUGCAGCUGCUGGUUCUGGUUCCGAGGCGAACACAGCUGGAAACCCGACAGACGUCGCCAUGGCGUAUUUACAAGACGAGAAGACUGACGGAGACCUUGCAAACCUCAACCUGGGCGAGCUGGACCUGACCACCGACGAGUUCAUCCUGGAUGAAGUGGACAGUAAGGCGACCUUCAUCAUUUCAUCAGGAUUAAAGAGGCUCACUGAGA
This is a long non-coding RNA of Larimichthys crocea (large yellow croaker), 994 nucleotides long. RefSeq lists it as uncharacterized. The record is from RefSeq and is a predicted model, not a curated record. The transcript is spliced from 3 exons. Lineage: Eukaryota; Metazoa; Chordata; Actinopteri; Sciaenidae.